Molecule: ribosomal RNA, 253 nt
Filed under: uncultured bacterium
Lineage: Bacteria
Description: partial 16S ribosomal RNA
Rfam family: Bacterial small subunit ribosomal RNA
Source: RNAcentral
UACGGAGGGUCCAAGCGUUAUCCGGAAUCAUUGGGUUUAAAGGGUCCGUAGGCGGUUUUGUAAGUCAGUGGUGAAAGCCCAUCGCUCAACGGUGGAACGGCUAUUGAUACUGCAAGACUUGAAUUAUUGGGAAGUAACUAGAAUAUGUAGUGUAGCGGUGAAAUGCUUAGAGAUUACAUGGAAUACCAAUUGCGAAGGCAGCUUACUACACAGUGAUUGACACUGAGGCACGAAAGCGUGGGGAUCAAACAGG